UACGUAGGGUGCGAGCGUUAAUCGGAAUUACUGGGCGUAAAGCGUGCGCAGGCGGUUCGUUGUGUCUGCUGUGAAAGCCCCGGUCUCAACCUGGGAAUGGCAGUGGAAACUGGCGAGCUGGAGUGUGGCAGAGGGGGGUGGAAUUCCGCGUGUAGCAGUGAAAUGCGUAGAGAUGCGGAGGAACACCGAUGGCGAAGGCAGCCCCCUGGGCUGACACUGACGCUCAGGCACGAAAGCGUGGGGAGCAAACAGG
Molecule: ribosomal RNA, 253 nt
Filed under: uncultured bacterium
Lineage: Bacteria
Description: partial 16S ribosomal RNA
Rfam family: Bacterial small subunit ribosomal RNA
Source: RNAcentral